ACCCUAGAUACAUCCAAUCUCACAGCAGAGACGAUGAUGGAGAGGGCGAAGUGGGAAAUCAUUCACAUGCCAGAAAAGCCACCUGUUUCACCCACCAAUCAACCCACUGUGGAUGUGCUUGCUUCAGUGAUUGAUCCUAAGCUCGCCAACACACUUGUAAGGCGAUUAAAUCAAAUAGCACCGCUGGAAAAUUUCCGCCAUGUGAAACGGAUACAAAAGAAGCACAUGCAGGGAGGAAAAACACAGUUAGCCAUAAUCUUAUGUUUAGCUUCUGAAAAUGAAAAUCCACUGGACGGCAUACCAAAUGAUGUACUCGAGCUAAUCAAUUCCUACCAGUUGAGUGCUUUCAUUACAAAAGUUUGCAAAUAUGCUGCAUUAUCGAAAGAAGAGUGGGAAGAACAAUGCAAGCUAUGGCCAACAUCAUAUCAUCCACCAACCUACAAUAUUGAGGGCAUUACUGGAUUUAGUGAAGAGGAUUCACAAUCAGUUUUCAGCUUCAUGAAAUCUGCUGUUAAGUUGGCAAAAUCAGAUGAUGGUCAGGUAGUAAAUGCUGCAGUGAUAGUGGAUCCAUCAGUUAAACAGAUAAUUGUGAGUGCAUGUGAUGAAAUCUGCUCUUGGCACACCCCCAUGGACAAGACUAGUGUGGAAGCCAGUUGCCUUGAACAGCCAGACAUUGCUACUUCCCAAGGUGUUGUCAAUGGAGUAGUGAGCCAUGAAACUCUGCUUUCAAAAGGUCCACCUGAUGAACCCAAACAAUCAUAUACUGGUGUUUCUUGUUUAUAUCCUUGGCGAUGGGCUGAACAUCAAUCACAUGCAAGUUCUUAUUGGCAUCCUUUGCGUCAUGCGGCCGUUGUUGCUAUUGAGUAUUCAGCUGCCAGGGACAGGCGCCUUUUCCCUGGUUUGGGACAGAUUGGCAAUCAGUCUAACCAACUGGAUCAUACGCUAUCAGCUUCCAUAAGCUCUCAGGCAAAACGACAAAAGACCAAUCUUAAAAAGGUUGAGGAUGUUGAGAAACUGGAUGCUCAUUGCAAUGGGUUUCAUUCUGAUGCAGCCAGGCCUUAUCUGUGCACUGGUUAUGACAUUUAUCUUGUUUGGGAGCCAUGUGCCAUGUGUGCAAUGGCGCUGGUCCAUCAAAGAAUUAGGCGUAUCUUCUACGCUUUUCCAAAUCCCAAUGCAGGUGCACUGGGCAGUGUUCAUAGACUUCAAGGGGAGAAAAGCUUAAAUCAUCACUAUGCUGUUUUCAGAGUUUCGUUGCCUGAAGAAAUCCUUGAUGGAGGGGUAAAACUUUAGUUGCAGCAACAUUUAUGAAUUACCCAAACACAACUAUCAGCUUUUAAACAGGGUUUGUUUUGGCUGCGCAUUAUGGUUAACCUGGGACCCCUCCAGCUUAUUGAUGCAUUUUUAGCCUGGGAAGAAAUCUGAUCUUUGAUCCUAGCGUGGCUCUUAACUAUGGCUGCUGUAAGCCCUUCAAGAUAAACCGGGUAUACAAUCAUUCAGACACCCAGAAGAGAUUUUUUUUCUGACUGUUUUGGUGAAUAUGGCUCUGGAUGAUCCAUUGAAAACAAACCAUUUGCAGAGAACCUCCAUUCCAGAGCCAAGAGAGUUGUUGACAGAGGGCAUUCUGAGGGUUUUUAGCCUUUUUCUUGGUUCAAUAUUUUGGGAAUUGCCUUCCCAUGGCACUUUGUUCACUCUGUUGUAAUAUCUAUCUCACCCCAGAAAUCCAAAAGAUAGAAAAGAUGAAAGAAAAAUUUAGUCCAGAAUGAGAUAGAUGGUCCAAGCUGUGCAGCUGGUAACCCUUACAAGUGACUCACAUAUGAUCCAGGGUGAUUUCGAUCAUGGUUUUGCAGUGAGCGCUUUGCCAAAAUGUUGGACACCCCCUAUGUUGCCACCACUAGAAGGUAAAACAUGACUGUAUUUGAGACAAUGUUACACAGUCCAUAUAUCGGCUGAAUAAGAUUAAAGUGAAAUAGCUAUGAAAGAUGUUGUGAUGUGAAAGUGACUAGGAGUUCACUUGGGACUGA
RNA transcript from Vitis riparia (riverbank grape), 2021 nucleotides. It is a transcript of the gene named tRNA-specific adenosine deaminase TAD3, with no coding region annotated. The transcript is spliced from 10 exons. NCBI's taxonomy places the organism in Eukaryota, Viridiplantae, Streptophyta, Magnoliopsida, Vitales, Vitaceae. The record is from RefSeq and is a predicted model, not a curated record.